RNAcentral lists this transfer RNA (72 nucleotides) under Tethya wilhelma. RNAcentral's name for it is "trnY". It matches the Rfam family "tRNA". Rfam says of the family: Transfer RNA (tRNA) molecules are approximately 80 nucleotides in length. The record is from RNAcentral. Lineage: Eukaryota; Metazoa; Porifera; Demospongiae; Tethyida; Tethyidae.
AGGGAUAUGACAGAAAGGCGAUGUGUGCCAUUGUAAAUGGUAUUUAUAAGAGUUCAAGUCUCUUUAUUCCUA